This 499-nucleotide ribosomal RNA is filed under the name uncultured bacterium. RNAcentral's name for it is "partial 16S ribosomal RNA". It matches the Rfam family "Bacterial small subunit ribosomal RNA", at positions 30 to 523 of the family's 1533-position model. The record is from RNAcentral.
AUUGAACGCUGGCGGCAUGCCUUACACAUGCAAGUCGAACGGCAGCACGGGAGCAAUCCUGGUGGCGAGUGGCGAACGGGUGAGUAAUAUAUCGGAACGUGCCCAGUCGUGGGGGAUAACGUAGCGAAAGCUACGCUAAUACCGCAUACGAUCUACGGAUGAAAGCGGGGGAUCGCAAGACCUCGCGGGACUGGAGCGGCCGAUAUCAGAUUAGCUAGUUGGGGGGGUAAAGGCCCACCAAGGCGACGAUCUGUAGCUGGUCUGAGAGGACGACCAGCCACACUGGAACUGAGACACGGUCCAGACUCCUACGGGAGGCAGCAGUGGGGAAUUUUGGACAAUGGCGCAAGCCUGAUCCAGCAAUGCCGCGUGCAGGAUGAAGGCCUUCGGGUUGUAAACUGCUUUUGUACGGAACGAAACGGUCCUUUCUAAUACAAGGGGCUAAUGACGGUACCGUAAGAAUAAGCACCGGCUAACUACGUGCCAGCAGCCGCCGUAA